UUGAGAGAGAGCCAGAGAAACAAAGGGUUGAACAUUGAAGACUAAAAAAUAAGGGAGAAUAUAAGAUAGAAAACUGAGUAAAUAUUUAGGUAGUUAUUUUGAACGUAAAUAUUUAGUUAGUUAGUUAGUUGUACCCUUUUUAUUAUUAUGAUAUAUAUCAAAGUAAUUUAGCUUUUUACUACUAACUUCAUUCCUAUUUAAUUAUUAUGGAAGAGAAGAAACACACAUGUUAAGCAGUGCUAUUAAUUUUGUUGAUUUUUUAAAAAAUAUUAUUUGUUUUUCUAUUUUACCUUCUAGAAUGUGUAUUAUCUUUCCUCCUUUAUGUUUCAUACAAGGACACUAUUAGGAAAAAUAUCUUGAAAUUCUAAGUGGACAUAUAUAUAUAUAUAUAUAUAUAUAUAGGAAAACAAAUUCUUCAUAGUGACCAGAUAAUAAGGAAUGAAGGAACGAAGGUAGUAGCUGUCACGACCCAAAAUCCUAAGCCGUGACCGGCGCACAGACUGACACUCUAGUCUGGCAAGCCUGUUUCUCACAAAAAUCAUUUUCCAAACUAUUAUCUAAAGUUACAUAUGUUUCUCUAUAUUUUAUAAAAAAAAUAAAUAUACAAGAUCUCAUCUGUAACACCAAUAUCUAAAUGACAAAACUUGUCAAAUAAUGAUCUCCAUUUUCAUACUUUUAUUAAAAGGAAAUUUUCAAUUUUAGCACUCAAGUGCAACUUUUACAAUAAAACAAUAAAUAACAAUCUUAAAUCCAAAUCCUUCUAAGACUCCCUAUAGCUGCAGAUAACUAGAAUCAAAUAAAAGACAUCAAUCGAGCCACCAACCAAAGGAGGCCUACCAAUAAGAUAAAUUGAACGAUCUGAAUCUGAUACCAGCUUACUACUUAGUUGCCUGUGAAUCUGUGGAGGGAAAAUAAUGAAUGGGGUAAGUCACAAAGACUUAGUGAGGAUUUAACAACCACCAUGAACAGGAAAGGGGAGACAUAUAAAGCACGAGUUUUUCACUAUCUGUUCAGAGUGGAUAACAAUAUAAUAUUAAUAAAAUUAAUAAGCAUCAAUUCAAAUAAGAGAUGAUCAAAUUGCCAAGUUUAUAAAUAAUUGUUUCAAUGAAACUGAAUAAAAAAUUCAUGUCAGUCAUGUGAAAGCAUUUAAAAAUCAGAAAUAUAAUUUAAUAGGGUCACACAUGUAGAACCGUGAGGCGGCUCCAUCUCGUUGAUAGCCCUCUCCUCCUAAGGGAUGGCCUAUCCGAUAGGGGCGGCUCCAUCUAACGGAUAGCCCUUUCCUCUCUCGUAUCACAUGUCGAAUCGUAUCACCGGGGGAAGCUACAUCUCGUUGAUAGCCCUCUCCGUGCACUGGCGGCUCCAUCUAACGGAUAGCCCUCUCCUCCCGGAAUCAAACUAGCUAGGUGCACCUAGGUCGUUACCUCCGUUAACGGCUACGGGGUUCUAUCAAGGAUCCCCAAAACCGUUUUCUCAAAUCAGUUCAAGUCUCAUCAAAAGUCUUAAAAUCAACUUUCCAAGUUCAUAAUCUCAGUUUCACAUAAUUUCCAAAAUCAAAGCAAUAUAAAUUGUUUUCAUAUCAGUUCAUAAUCAGAUUCCAAAUCAACUUCCUAAAACCAACUUUCAGAUAAUUAAAGAACUGUAAAACAUGUUUCCCCCAAUUUAAAUAAAUAGUGAUAUGAUAAAAUAAUCAAAUCAACAAUUAUAUAAUUAUAAAAAUAAGACACAGUGAUUGGAUAAUCACUCACAGCUAUGACGAAAUAAUUGGACCGUCCUCAACAGUUCCGUGACGCGCAAACGAACCUACGCCCGGCAAAUCUGAGCACCAAGAACAUAUUUAACCCUUCAGCAAUAAUUAACUUAUGUCAUACUACCCGUAAGCAACUACGAAAACCCCAAUUAUUUACCCAAAACCCUAAGUAAUCCUACUUUAAGUCUAGCAUACCAUACUACUAUUUCUAAAAUUUGUGAGUGCGGCAUACCUCAAUGCAAUUAACAGAGAAACCUUGACAGGUGGGCACUCCCUUCCUUCCUUAAAGCACCAAUCUUAAACCCCAGAAAUUAACCAAGUGCCUUUGCAAUUGAGUGCCACAAUUCGUUCCUGAGUGUGUAUGCUACAGAGGGAUUUGUAGUGAUUUUUGGGAAGGAGGGAUGAUUGGAAUAAGAGAAAGGAGAAGGACGAGUUGUCUCAAAGGCAUGGGUGGAAAUUGUCGAGGAAGAGAAUGGAGUUACGGUUGGAAGAGAAAAGUAACAAGAGUGGGGUUAAUUGUUUUCUUUAACCAAUUAGGGUAUUUGUUUAUAACUUUUUUUUUUCUAAAAAACCCAUGAGGUGGGCUACGUGCCUUUCCAAACCAGAUUAACUUCAUAUUCCCCCCGUUUUUUUUUGCCUUAUCUCUUUUAUAUAUAAUAAUGGUGACAACUUUAAUAAUUAAAACCAUACUAAUAUUAAACGGGUCUUUUCAAUCUUCCCUCCUUAUAGAAAAUUCGUCCUCGAAUUUUAAAGCUUAAACUAACCUUGAGCUUCACACAAGUGGGGAUACUUCUCGUGCUUUAUGGUCUUAGACUUCCGAAUCAUCUUUUCUGCAUAUUGUCCUUGUCAAAGAUUUUCACUGGACCAAUAUUCUUAGAAUGUUAGCGUUCUUCUAUCAACUAUGACUACUGAAUCCUCCAUAUGAUAUAAAUGUCCAUCUAGUUGUGCAUCCUCAUGAGGGGAUAAGAUGAGAAUGAACAUAUAGGUAUCUUCAAAGCAUAGAAAUAUGAAACUAGGUGAACUCCAAAUUUGUAUGGGAAAAACAUCAAUUGAUAAGCUACAAAGUCAUCUCUCUUCAAGAUCUCCAACAAUCUAAUGAAUCUUGAACUUAACUUCCCUUUCUUAUCCAAUCAUAACACUCAUUUCAUUGGGGAAACGCGUAAGAACAUAUGGUCUGCAACUACGAACUCUAAAGGGCAUCUCCUCCUAUCAGCAUAACACGUUUUCAUACUCUUAUUUGUAACCAAUUAGUUUCAGACCACCUUAACCUUUUUCUACAUUGUAUCUUGGAUAAGUUAUGAGCCUACAAGCAUUGCUCCUCUAACAUCAACCAAGCUAUUGGUGAUCUGCAUCUCCUACCAUACCUGGCCUCAAAUUGUAUAAUCUUAAUGCUAGACUGGUAGCGGCUAUUAUAAGAGAACUUCAUUAAAGACAAAUUCUGCUCUCAUCUCCUUCUAAAGUCUAAAAACACAAGCACAAAACAUAUCUUCCGAGAUCUGAAUAAUCCUCUUAAAUCAGCCAUCAAUUUAAGGAUAGAAAGUUGUACCCAAAUCAAAUGUGACCCCACAACAACUUUGAAAGUUUUCUAAAACAAUGCAUUCAAUUAAGCUCCUUGAUCUGAAAUUAUAAACAAGCUUACACCAUGCAAACAAACAAUCUCAAUCAAGGUAAACCAUACAAUAUUGUAGUGUAAGUACUUCUAUAGACAAAAGUGUUCAUACUCUGCCAAUUGAUCCAUAAUCACCGUUACAAAAUCAUAACACAUUAAAUUUCUAAGCAAACCUCUCACCAAGUUCAUAACAACACCUUCUCAUUUCCCCUAUGGUAUCUUAAUAGACUGAAGCAACAUUACUCGCUUUUAUGUUCGACCUUCACAUGCUAACAUACUAAACAGUUAGAAACAAAUUCUACAACAUUCUUCUUCAUCUCUUCCCACUAAUAGAAAUUCCUCAAGUAUCCUAUGUGAAUGGUGUGAGAAUAAUUAUGAGCAUCCUCUAAUAUUUUCCCUCAAACUAUCUACAUUAGACACACACACUAUUAUUCAAGUCAUAAAAUAUCAUCAGAGUCUAAUGAAAACUAUGAAAUCUUUUCACUUUAACAUCAUCCACCAUCUUCAUCACCUACAAAUCUUGACCCUUAUCAUAUUUAACAUCAUCAACCAAAGUAGAACUAAUUUGCAUGUAAGUCAACACUCAACAUUAAGUUGAAAUGGGCAAGCCCCAAUGAAACUCUUCUAUCAUCAAGCUUCUAGAGCUCUUCUUUAUCCUCAAUAUGAAUAAGAAUAUCAUUAAUAAAUACAAUCAUAAAAUGCUCAAGAAGGAUUUAAAGAUAUGGUUCAUUGAAUUCUUAAAUCAACAGUGGUGUCACUAAGUCCAAAGGCAUGACUAACUACCCAUUACAGUCAUAACAUGUUCUGUAAGUGGUCUUCAAAAUUCUUUCUUUCUUAAAAAUUCCAUUUAUGGUACCUAGAUUACUAAGUCCUUUUUUUUAUACCAUCAUAUUCUCCAAUUGCCUGUAGUCAACACAUAACUACAUAGUCUUGACUCUCUUCUUCACAAUAAGUCUGGUUCAGAAACUAACUAUAUGGAAAACUCUAUCCCCUUAGGAGAUACAUUAUGCAAAACACACAUUACAAAAAUCUCCUCUAGUUUCAAUUUUGCUAAUUGAGUAUCUUUACCAAGAGCAAUUAUCACCUACAACUCUUCCGUAGUAACUUGUUAACUUUCAAUACUAAAACUGGAUUAUGAGGUGUCCAACUUCACUCCCGAAAAUGAGAAAAACGACUCUCCUUGUGCCUGAAAUCUCACUACCUUAUUUAUGACAAUCCAAAGUAUCGUUGACAAAAGAUUAUCCAAUCUAUAUCCAAAGAUCACACUAAAAUCAAUUAUGUCUUAAGCUAUAACGACUAACAACAACUCUCAAUUGAUUUCCAAUGGAUAUCUUAAAAAUAAUGGUGCACAACUUUACUAUAGAAAACUCUCUAAGAGGUGUAGCCACGAGCCCAUAACCAACAUAUUAUUUAAGGAAAGAGAAAAUUUUCCAACUUCAGAAGCGUACUAAAAAUGGUAAAAUGGAGUGAGUAUAUAGCUUUAGGAUCAAACAAAACAUGAACAUCUCAAUAACAUAUAGAAAGCGGACUUGUAACCACUACAAUGGAUUCUUGAGAAUCAUGACGAUUCAAAGCAAAGACUCAAGCUUGACUCCCUUGCCAGUCAUUAACCUCAACCACCAAAUCCUGGUACUCACUAACCUUGGCCAAAAUAACUCAUAGCUUGCACCACAGCUAUAUGUCAAUUCCUCCUAGUAUGUAACUUGUCACUAACAUCACACCCUACUAAAUCACAAGCAAGCUACAAGAUGAAACUUUUGAGAAAUAGAAUCUGAUAUAAAUAUCGCACAUAAAUGCAUUUGAGGAAGUAAUGGUGCGUGAAUUCCCUUCAGAACUUAAUAUAUGACUUUGCACAAAGUUUGAAGCCUGGACACUAGAACCACUCCCUAGUGUCAUUGACUUUAUCCUGUUCCAGCAACUCAAACACAUGAGUCAAACCAUUUCUAACUCUCGUAUCAAACGAUUUAUAAAUGUCAAAAUUUGUCCUAUGAUAUUGGAGGUGAUCUCGUCGUUAUUGUGUGCACAAAGUCACAAAACCAAUCAUAUACUACACCAUCUAACUAGAAUGAUGUUAACUCCACCUCUCUAACGUGGGUGCAUCCAAAUUGCUCUCCAUAGUUUCCAUAAAGCACCAUUAAUCCUCACUUGCUCCCCAUGUGCAUGCGUACUAGAAAAUUAGGAGAAUUUAAGCCUCAUGCAACCAACUUAGUGUGACCUGAAUCUUUCUAGUGACACCUACAUUUUGUUGCUCUCUUAUGCCUAGCAUCUUGCUGAAACUCAUAAAUUGUCAUACGUGGGUUAUGUUGUUGCUGCCCAACAACCAGUCCAACGUGUUAUUGCAAGUCAUGUUAUGAUUCUUUCAUUUCAUACCAACUGUAAGCUCUACCAUCCUUGAAUGUCAUUACCGCAAUAUAAGCACGUUAACAUUAGCUACAACAGGGAGCAACAAGCUCGUAUCGGCGAUGGUCCUUGGCGUAAACUACAACACCGACCACAACCAAAGAGGAUCUUCAUAAGCUGACACAUCCUCUAAUAGAAAUAGAAUUUAGGUGGUAUCCUCACUGAACAAAGAAUAUUCAUCGAUUAUAAGACAUGACUCAGAUUUUUUUGUGAAUUGAGGAACGAACUCAAAUCACACAUGGAAACAACAUUAAGACUCUCAUGAGGUGUUAAUAGCAUCUUUGAAGUAAAUUGUGCCGCGGUUCACAAUUUACUAGAAAGAUUCUAUCACUACAUCAUGUCUGCAGCUAAUAGGACCUACAACCAGGCUCUGAUACCAAUUGUAACAUCCUGACUUGACUACUGGCCUCACGGUAACAACACGAGUCUUUUCAGCGCGCUUUGUCCUCACUCGCGCGCUUCCCGGGAAAACUUCCCAGGAGGUCACCCAUCAUAAUAUUGCUCCAAGGCUAGCACACUUAACCAUGGAGUUCUUAUGAGUUUGGCUCCCGAAAAGAAGUUGCAACUUGUUGUUAUGGGUAGUACAAUCAAAUCAUAUAUGCCCUCCUCAACUGUAUAGUCCAUCCCUACACAGUCUCGGAAUACCUCUUGUUCGGGUGUGAGAUCGGCUCAUUCUUGUGACCCUCCGCCUAGAAGCCUGCCAGGAGCCGCUCCUUGUCCAUGCCUCACUGCACCGGCGAUCACUCCCCGCCCUCGUCAGCCCCGGGUAUCACAGGCCCACCAGCUUCCGCUUGGUUCGUCCCCGAACCACUCCGUACUGGGAGAGGUCGGCUCUGAUACCAACUUUGUCACGACCCAAAAUCCUAAGCCGUGACCGGCGCACAGACUGACACUCUAGUCUGGCAAGCCUGUUUCUCACAAAAAUCAUUUUCCAAACUAUUAUCUAAAGUUACAUAUGUUUCUCUAUAUUUUAUAAAAAAAAUAAAUAUACAAGAUCUCAUCUGUAACACCAAUAUCUAAAUGACAAAACUUGUCAAAUAAUGAUCUCCAUUUUCAUACUUUUAUUAAAAGGAAAUUUUCAAUUUUAGCACUCAAGUGCAACUUUUACAAUAAAACAAUAAAUAACAAUCUUAAAUCCAAAUCCUUCUAAGACUCCCUAUAGCUGCAGAUAACUAGAAUCAAAUAAAAGACAUCAAUCGAGCCACCAACCAAAGGAGGCCUACCAAUAAGAUAAAUUGAACGAUCUGAAUCUGAUACCAGCUUACUACUUAGUUGCCUGUGAAUCUGUGGAGGGAAAAUAAUGAAUGGGGUAAGUCACAAAGACUUAGUGAGGAUUUAACAACCACCAUGAACAGGAAAGGGGAGACAUAUAAAGCACGAGUUUUUCACUAUCAGUUCAGAGUGGAUAACAAUAUAAUAUUAAUAAAAUUAAUAAGCAUCAAUUCAAAUAAGAGAUGAUCAAAUUGCCAAGUUUAUAAAUAAUUGUUUCAAUGAAACUGAAUAAAAAAUUCAUGUCAGUCAUGUGAAAGCAUUUAAAAAUCAGAAAUAUAAUUUAAUAGGGUCACACAUGUAGAACCGUGAGGCGGCUCCAUCUCGUUGAUAGCCCUCUCCUCCUAAGGGAUGGCCUAUCCGAUAGGGGCGGCUCCAUCUAACGGAUAGCCCUUUCCUCUCUCGUAUCACAUGUCGAAUCGUAUCACCGGGGGAAGCUACAUCUCGUUGAUAGCCCUCUCCGUGCACUGGCGGCUCCAUCUAACGGAUAGCCCUCUCCUCCCGGAAUCAAACUAGCUAGGUGCACCUAGGUCGUUACCUCCGUUAACGGCUACGGGGUUCUAUCAAGGAUCCCCAAAACCGUUUUCUCAAAUCAGUUCAAGUCUCAUCAAAAGUCUUAAAAUCAACUUUCCAAGUUCAUAAUCUCAGUUUCACAUAAUUUCCAAAAUCAAAGCAAUAUAAAUUGUUUUCAUAUCAGUUCAUAAUCAGAUUCCAAAUCAACUUCCUAAAACCAACUUUCAGAUAAUUAAAGAACUGUAAAACAUUUUUCCCCCAAUUUAAAUAAAUAGUGAUAUGAUAAAAUAAUCAAAUCAACAAUUAUAUAAUUAUAAAAAUAAGACACAGUGAUUGGAUAAUCACUCACAGCUAUGACGAAAUAAUUGGACCGUCCUCAACAGUUCCGUGACGCGCAAACGAACCUACGCCCGGCAAAUCUGAGCACCAAGAACAUAUUUAACCCUUCAGCAAUAAUUAACUUAUGUCAUACUACCCGUGAGCAACUACGAAAACCCCAAUUAUUUACCCAAAACCCUAAGUAAUCCUACUUUAAGUCUAGCAUACCAUACUACUAUUUCUAAAAUUUGUGAGUGCGGCAUACCUCAAUGCAAUUAACAGAGAAACCUUGACAGGUGGGCACUCCCUUCCUUCCUUAAAGCACCAAUCUUAAACCCCAGAAAUUAACCAAGUGCCUUUGCAAUUGAGUGCCACAAUUCGUUCCUGAGUGUGUAUGCUACAGAGGGAUUUGUAGUGAUUUUUGGGAAGGAGGGAUGAUUGGAAUAAGAGAAAGGAGAAGGACGAGUUGUCUCAAAGGCAU
This 8337-nucleotide long non-coding RNA is filed under the name Lotus japonicus. Its description in RNAcentral is "long non-coding RNA (LJAP_LNC001199)". The record is from RNAcentral. Lineage: Eukaryota; Viridiplantae; Streptophyta; Magnoliopsida; Fabales; Fabaceae.